This 82-nucleotide transfer RNA is filed under the name Ixodes scapularis (black-legged tick). It matches the Rfam family "tRNA". From Rfam's summary of the family: Transfer RNA (tRNA) molecules are approximately 80 nucleotides in length. The record is from Rfam by way of RNAcentral. Lineage: Eukaryota; Metazoa; Arthropoda; Arachnida; Ixodida; Ixodidae.
GCAGUCGUGGCCGAGUGGUUAAGGCGAUGCACUAGAAAUCCAUUGGGGUCUCCCCGCACAGGUUCGAAUCCUGUAGACUGCG